RNAcentral lists this small RNA (81 nucleotides) under Streptomyces sp. CC53. RNAcentral describes it as "nrdJ RNA". It matches the Rfam family "nrdJ RNA". Lineage: Bacteria; Bacillati; Actinomycetota; Actinomycetes; Kitasatosporales; Streptomycetaceae. The record is from Rfam by way of RNAcentral.
ACCUGUGAUGGGCGUCCAUCAGGCGUUCAUGACAACAGACAGAGACCGUGCCUUGGGAAGAUCUGGGCACAUCAGGGUGUU